AUGUUCUACUACUUCAUAGUUGUCUUGAGCUAUGACCACACCAACAACGCUACUAGAGCUAGAUAUUCUAAAGGAGACCAGCAUUAUGCGGCUUACCCAGCCGGAACCGAGCUAUUGGGUGAUUCUGAUAAGUUGUACAAAGCUGCUCUUGGCAAUUACUUCGAAGCGGAAGAGUGGGGUCCCCUUGAGUUCCGCAUCAUGUCCAAGCACUUCGAGCGCCAAGGAAAAGCGUCAUAUGCAUAUCAUGCUGUAAAAUGACAUAAGUCUAGAUUGCUGCGGCAAUAUGUCGCACACCUUCUCUCCCUUGGACAACUAAAUGGAUCUGGAUAG
This is an RNA transcript of Eucalyptus grandis, 330 nucleotides long. RefSeq lists it as uncharacterized. Lineage: Eukaryota; Viridiplantae; Streptophyta; Magnoliopsida; Myrtales; Myrtaceae. The transcript is spliced from 5 exons. The record is from RefSeq and is a predicted model, not a curated record.